GAAAUCAACCGAGAUUCCCCCAGUAGCGGCGAGCGAACGGGGAGGAGCCCAGAGCCUGAAUCAGUGUGUGUGUUAGUGGAAGCGUCUGGAAAGGCGCGCGAUACAGGGUGACAGCCCCGUACACAAAAAUGCACAUGCUGUGAGCUCGAUGAGUAGGGCGGGACACGUGGUAUCCUGUCUGAAUAUGGGGGGACCAUCCUCCAAGGCUAAAUACUCCUGACUGACCGAUAGUGAACCAGUACCGUGAGGGAAAGGCGAAAAGAACCCCGGCGAGGGGAGUGAAAAAGAACCUGAAACCGUGUACGUACAAGCAGUGGGAGCACGCUUAGGCGUGUGACUGCGUACCUUUUGUAUAAUGGGUCAGCGACUUAUAUUCUGUAGCAAGGUUAACCGAAUAGGGGAGCCGAAGGGAAACCGAGUCUUAACUGGGCGUUAAGUUGCAGGGUAUAGACCCGAAACCCGGUGAUCUAGCCAUGGGCAGGUUGAAGGUUGGGUAACACUAACUGGAGGACCGAACCGACUAAUGUUGAAAAAUUAGCGGAUGACUUGUGGCUGGGGGUGAAAGGCCAAUCAAACCGGGAGAUAGCUGGUUCUCCCCGAAAGCUAUUUAGGUAGCGCCUCGUGAAUUCAUCUCCGGGGGUAGAGCACUGUUUCGGCAAGGGGGUCAUCCCGACUUACCAACCCGAUGCAAACUGCGAAUACCGGAGAAUGUUAUCACGGGAGACACACGGCGGGUGCUAACGUCCGUCGUGAAGAGGGAAACAACCCAGACCGCCAGCUAAGGUCCCAAAGUCAUGGUUAAGUGGGAAACGAUGUGGGAAGGCCCAGACAGCCAGGAUGUUGGCUUAGAAGCAGCCAUCAUUUAAAGAAAGCGUAAUAGCUCACUGGUCGAGUCGGCCUGCGCGGAAGAUGUAACGGGGCUAAACCAUGCACCGAAGCUGCGGCAGCGACGCUUAUGCGUUGUUGGGUAGGGGAGCGUUCUGUAAGCCUGUGAAGGUGUGCUGUGAGGCAUGCUGGAGGUAUCAGAAGUGCGAAUGCUGACAUAAGUAACGAUAAAGCGGGUGAAAAGCCCGCUCGCCGGAAGACCAAGGGUUCCUGUCCAACGUUAAUCGGGGCAGGGUGAGUCGACCCCUAAGGCGAGGCCGAAAGGCGUAGUCGAUGGGAAACAGGUUAAUAUUCCUGUACUUGGUGUUACUGCGAAGGGGGGACGGAGAAGGCUAUGUUGGCCGGGCGACGGUUGUCCCGGUUUAAGCGUGUAGGCUGGUUUUCCAGGCAAAUCCGGAAAAUCAAGGCUGAGGCGUGAUGACGAGGCACUACGGUGCUGAAGCAACAAAUGCCCUGCUUCCAGGAAAAGCCUCUAAGCAUCAGGUAACAUCAAAUCGUACCCCAAACCGACACAGGUGGUCAGGUAGAGAAUACCAAGGCGCUUGAGAGAACUCGGGUGAAGGAACUAGGCAAAAUGGUGCCGUAACUUCGGGAGAAGGCACGCUGAUAUGUAGGUGAAGUCCCUCGCGGAUGGAGCUGAAAUCAGUCGAAGAUACCAGCUGGCUGCAACUGUUUAUUAAAAACACAGCACUGUGCAAACACGAAAGUGGACGUAUACGGUGUGACGCCUGCCCGGUGCCGGAAGGUUAAUUGAUGGGGUCAGCGCAAGCGAAGCUCUUGAUCGAAGCCCCGGUAAACGGCGGCCGUAACUAUAACGGUCCUAAGGUAGCGAAAUUCCUUGUCGGGUAAGUUCCGACCUGCACGAAUGGCGUAAUGAUGGCCAGGCUGUCUCCACCCGAGACUCAGUGAAAUUGAACUCGCUGUGAAGAUGCAGUGUACCCGCGGCAAGACGGAAAGACCCCGUGAACCUUUACUAUAGCUUGACACUGAACAUUGAGCCUUGAUGUGUAGGAUAGGUGGGAGGCUUAGAAGUGUGGACGCCAGUCUGCAUGGAGCCGACCUUGAAAUACCACCCUUUAAUGUUUGAUGUUCUAACGUUGACCCGUAAUCCGGGUUGCGGACAGUGUCUGGUGGGUAGUUUGACUGGGGCGGUCUCCUCCUAAAGAGUAACGGAGGAGCACGAAGGUUGGCUAAUCCUGGUCGGACAUCAGGAGGUUAGUGCAAUGGCAUAAGCCAGCUUGACUGCGAGCGUGACGGCGCGAGCAGGUGCGAAAGCAGGUCAUAGUGAUCCGGUGGUUCUGAAUGGAAGGGCCAUCGCUCAACGGAUAAAAGGUACUCCGGGGAUAACAGGCUGAUACCGCCCAAGAGUUCAUAUCGACGGCGGUGUUUGGCACCUCGAUGUCGGCUCAUCACAUCCUGGGGCUGAAGUAGGUCCCAAGGGUAUGGCUGUUCGCCAUUUAAAGUGGUACGCGAGCUGGGUUUAGAACGUCGUGAGACAGUUCGGUCCCUAUCUGCCGUGGGCGCUGGAGAACUGAGGGGGGCUGCUCCUAGUACGAGAGGACCGGAGUGGACGCAUCACUGGUGUUCGGGUUGUCAUGCCAAUGGCACUGCCCGGUAGCUAAAUGCGGAAGAGAUAAGUGCUGAAAGCAUCUAAGCACGAAACUUGCC
Molecule: ribosomal RNA, 2553 nt
Filed under: Escherichia coli
Lineage: Bacteria; Pseudomonadati; Pseudomonadota; Gammaproteobacteria; Enterobacterales; Enterobacteriaceae
Description: partial 23S ribosomal RNA
Rfam family: Bacterial large subunit ribosomal RNA
Source: RNAcentral